CGUAGGCGGAUAGUCAAAAAUAUAGUAAAAGACUGAGGUUGACCCUCUUAAAGCUAUAUUCACUAACUAUCUUGAGUUUUAUGGACGAUAAUGAAUCCUUUAAGUAAGGGUUAAAUUGUUGAUAUUAGGAGACAUUCGAAGGCGAAAGCAAUGAUCGACAUAAAUCUGACGCUAGGUACUAAAGCAUGGGUAUGAAAAGGAUUAGAGACCUUGUAGUCCAUGCUGUAAACUAUGAGUGUUCAACGUCCUUUUGUGGUAUGUUUUACCUAGAAGUAACAUUGGCACGAAAGGGGGUUUGAAGCUAACGCGUGAAACACCGCCUGGGGAAUGUGGCCGCAAGGUUAAACUCAAAGGAAUUGACGGAGAUUUGUACAAG
This 376-nucleotide ribosomal RNA is filed under the name Didymium squamulosum. RNAcentral's name for it is "SSU rRNA". It matches the Rfam family "Bacterial small subunit ribosomal RNA", at positions 570 to 929 of the family's 1533-position model. The record is from RNAcentral. Lineage: Eukaryota; Evosea; Eumycetozoa; Physariida; Didymiaceae.